AAAGGCUAUACGAGGGAGACUGACACUUCGCUUCUUCGUGGUCAAGAGCUGAAUGAGCCAGGUUUUAUUUUGAUCUUGUCCAUCUUCCAUAGGGACAGCAAUACAGGGGGCCUCACUCUCUUAUGGUAAACACUGCUGCCAGUGACCCAUUAUACUUUGUUAUGCAACUACGGAAAUUCACACAAACAAUUAAAUCCAAAAGCAGAGGACGUGUCGCUCGCUGAAACUGGGUAACCUGCCGGAGAGGAGCUUUUUCCAUGAAGCUGCUGAUCUGACUAGAGAGUUUGAAUGGCGUGAUCAGUUUCUUCAUGGGAAACAACAAACGGUAACAACGACCACAUGCAGAUUUUACCAUUGUGUAAACAUUUUGGAAAAUGAAAGCAAGCAAAGCAACUCGCAACAUGAAUAGUUCGGUUCAGUCUGGAACAAUUUAGAGGUGAAGGCAAUGUUGCACAGGAAGCAUAAAUUAGUUAAUCAACAAAGAAACUAAAUGCGCCUUCCAUGUACAAAAAUACACCAGCAGAGUCCAAGGUGCAGCACCCACACCAAAAAAACUGCCGCAAAGCUGGAAUCAAUCUGUCAAUAAAUUACGGGGUCAGAUUAAAUCAAGAUGUUUGCAGUGGAUGUGGUCAAAGAUUAAGUGUGUGGAACCGAAUGCGAACAGCUAACACGAAGCACAUUACAAGAUCGCCGUUACGUUUGUUUGUGAAUGAUUCAUCCGAGUGUCGGGACAUUCGUUUGCAAAUGGUCAACGGAUACAGCCAGAUACAAAGCCGGACAUCUUCGCGAGGAAUGGACAAUUUAAAGUGAAAGAACGCUUCAUAAAUCAGUAAUCGGAGUCUGCCUGCACUGCUCCACGUUGACGAUCCUAAAGCGAGAUUGGGCUACGAGAACAUGUUCGUCAUGCUCACGUAGGUUCCUCGCUGGGCUUGGCUCAGACUACGAACAGGUGCACUGAAGACAGGCUGACAGCAACAGCCACCACUCUGGAAGUUUGAAAGCUAGACCGAGGACAGUUAAGAAUGACAUGCUGAGCCAGGGGGACACGGAGACGCACACAACCAACUGUCACCGACAGUUGAAGAAAAAAAUAGAUACUCUUCAAAGCCCAAGGCAUUACCAAAAUUCUAUGAGUCAACUAGUCAAACUAAACAAACAAAAAAAUCCUAUUUGAUUGCAAUAAAGAGAAAAGAAUGUCCUCAGGCACAUCUAGAA
Anguilla rostrata (American eel) is the source of this 1215-nucleotide long non-coding RNA. RefSeq lists it as uncharacterized. The record is from RefSeq and is a predicted model, not a curated record. The transcript is spliced from 3 exons. NCBI's taxonomy places the organism in Eukaryota, Metazoa, Chordata, Actinopteri, Anguilliformes, Anguillidae.